GAUGAAGAACGUAGUGAACGUGCGAAACGUAAUGUGAAUUGCAGAAUUCAGUGAAUCAUCGAAUCUUUGAACGCACAUUGCGCCCGCUGGUAUUCCGGCGGGCAUGCCUGUUCGAGCGUCAUUUCAACCCUCAAGCCCCCGGGUUUGGUGUUGGGGAUCGGCUCUGCCCUUCUGGGCGGUGCCGCCCCCGAAAUACAUUGGCGGUCUCGCUGCAGCCUCCAUUGCGUAGUAGCUAACACCUCGCAACUGGAACGCGGCGCGGCCAUGCCGUAAAACCCCAACUUCUGAAUGUUGACCUCGGAUCAGGUAGGAAUACCCGCUGAACUUAAGCAUAUCAAUAAGCGGAGGA
This 349-nucleotide unclassified non-coding RNA is filed under the name soil metagenome. RNAcentral's name for it is "partial contains 5.8S ribosomal RNA, internal transcribed spacer 2, and large subunit ribosomal RNA". The stretch from base 1 to 121 matches the Rfam family "5.8S ribosomal RNA", at positions 35 to 154 of the family's 154-position model. The record is from RNAcentral.